This 508-nucleotide ribosomal RNA is filed under the name Odontosyllis enopla. RNAcentral's name for it is "partial large subunit ribosomal RNA". It matches the Rfam family "Bacterial large subunit ribosomal RNA", at positions 1797 to 2608 of the family's 2925-position model. The record is from RNAcentral. Lineage: Eukaryota; Metazoa; Annelida; Polychaeta; Phyllodocida; Syllidae.
UGACUGUUUAUCAAAAACAUAGCCUAACGACCUUACAUGUUAGGUUAUUUCUGCCCAGUGAAAAUUUUAACGGCCGCGGUAUCCUGACCGUGCAAAGGUAGCAUAAUCAUUUGCCUCUUAAUUAGAGGCUAGAAUGAAUGAAUAAACAUUUAUUUUCUGUCUCCUCAUAAAAAAUAAAAAUUUACCUUCAGGUGAAGAGGCCUGUAUAAUAAAAAAAGACAAGAAGACCCUGUCAAGCUUUAUUGAUUUUUAUACUUCUAAUAACAAAAGAUUUAGUUGGGGCAACAAAAAAUAAUAUAAAUCAUUUUUCUAUAUAAGGUUUAUCCACCAGAAUUAACAAACUUCUUCUAAAUAAAAAGAUAGCUACUGCAGGGAUAACAGGCUAAUACUUUUUGAGAGCUCUUAUCAACAAAAGUGAUUGGCACCUCGAUGUUGGCUUAGGAGACCUUAUUCAUGCAGAAGUAAAUAAAGGUGGUUUGUUCAACCAAUGAUUUCCUACAUGAGCUGA